UCUCCUCUACAAGACCUAUAUAGUCAUUCCCCGUGACACCCCUCAUUAUUUUUCUCUAGAAGCCCUGGAAUAGGCCGACCCUCCUAAUUUUUUGACAUUUUUUUCGAUUUUGAGCUUCUAGUGUUCAAGAUUUGAAUAUAGCGCCCUUCGAGACCUGUGAAAAGAAGCGCCUGUUUCUCUCACAAGACCUAUAUAGUCCAUUCCGAACCCCUCAUUAUUUCCUAAAGAAAGCCCGGAAUAGGCCGACCCCCUAAUUUUGUUGUAAUUUUUUUCAAUUUAUGAGCGCCUAGUUAAUUUUUUAACAUACGCCUUUUGAUACCUAGCACAAAAAGAAAGUGCCUUUUUUCUCCUCUACAAACCUAUAUAGUCAACCCCGUGACACCCCAUUAUUUUCUCUAGAACUCCUGAGAAGUAGCCGACCUACCCCAUUUUUUCGAAUUUUAUGAGCUCUAGUUUUCAGAUUUUUGAUAUAGCGCCCUUCGAUACCUAGUGCAAAAUGAAGCGCCUGUCUUCUCCUCUUACAAGACCUAAUAGUCAUACCCCGGACAACCCUCAUAUUUUCCUAGGAAAGCCUUAGAAUAGCCGAACCCCCUAAUUUUUGACAUUUUUUUCAAAUUUGAGCUCUAUAGUUCAGAUUUUUGAACAUAGCGCCUUCGGAUACCUAGUGCAAAAAAGAAAGCGCCUAGUUCUCCUCUAAAAGACCUAUAUAGUAUACCCGUGACACCCGUAUUAUUUUUCCUAGAAGUCGUAUAAAUAGCCGACCAACCAAAUUUUUUGACAUUUUUUUCAAAUCUUGACUCUAGUUUCAGAUUUUUUGAACAUAGGCGCCUCGAUAACAUAGCCCAAAAAGAAAGCGUCUGUUUCUCCUUUACAAACUUUAUAUGUCAUUCACGUGGACACCCCCUCAUAUUUUUCUCUAGAGCCUGGAAGUUAGGCCGACCCCCUAAUUUUUUACAUUUUUUCGAAAUUUUUUGAGCCCUAGUUUUAGAUUUUUGAACAUAGCGCCCUUUAUACUUAGCGCAAAAGAAGUUGCCCUUUUCUCCUCUGACCAAGACCAUAUAUUAGUCACUACCCCGUUACCACCCAUUAUUUUCUCUUAGAAAUCCUGAAUAGGCGACCCACCCCCAUUUUUUUCGAAUUUUAGCUCUUAGUUUCAGAUGUUUGAAUAGUAGCGCCUUCGAUUCCUAGGUGCAAAAGAAGCGCCUGUUUCUCCUUCUACGAACCUAAGUUCAUACCCCGUGGGACACCCCUCAUUAUUCUUUCUUCUAGAAGUCUAAAUAGUCCGAACCUCCCUAAUUUUUGACAUUUUUUUUUCAAAUUUUUGAGCUCUAGUGUUCAGAUUUGAAACAUAGCGCCCUUCGAACCUACGCAAAAAAGCGCCGUUUCCCUCUAACAAGACCUAGAUAGUCAUUUCCGCGUGACACCCCCUCAUUAUUUUUCUCUAGAAGCCUAGGAAUAGGGCCGACCCCCUAAUUUUUUGACAUUUUUUCAAAUUUGAAGCCCUAUUUUAGAUUUUUGAACAUAGCGCCCUUGAUACCUAGCACAAAAGAAUGCCUUUUUCUCCUCUACAAACUAUAUUAGUCAUACCCCGUGACAACCCCCAUAUUUUCUCUAGAAUCCUGAAUAGCCGACCCUACCCCCAUUUUUUUUCGAAUUUGAGCAUCUAGUUUUUCAGAUUUUUGAAUAUUACCCUUCGAUACCUAGUGCAAAGAAGGCCUGUUUCUCCUCUACAAGAACCUAUAUAGUCAUACCCCGUGGACACCCCUCAUUAUUUUCUCUAAAGUUCCUAGAAUAGCGAACCCUAAUUUGACAUUUUUUUCAAAUUUUGAGCUCUAGUUUCAGAGUUUUAACAUAGCGCCCUUCGAACUAGUGCAAAAAGCGCCUGUCUCCCUAAAAACCCUAUUAUAGUCAUACCCCGUGACACCCCUCAUUAUUCUCUAGAAGUCCUAGAAUAGGCCGACCCCCCUAAUUUUUUGACAUUUUUUUCAAAAUUGACUCUUAGUUUCAAUUUUUGACAUAGGCGCCUUCGAACCUAGCGCAAAAAAGAAGCGUCUGUUUCUCCUUUACUAAUACAUUAUAGUCAUUCACCGUGACACCCGUCAUUAUUUCUCUAAAGGCCUGAAUAGGCCGACCCCUUAAUUUUGACAUUUUUUUCAAAAUUUGAGCCCUAGUUUUAGAUUUUUAACAUACGCCCUUUGAACCUUUAGCACAAAAGAAGUGCCUUUUUCUCUCUACAACCUUAUAUCAUACCCCGUGACACCCCCCAUAUUUUUCUCUAGAACUCCUGAAUAGGCCACCCUACCCCCAUUUUUUUCGAAUGUUUGAGCUCUAGUUUCAGAUUUUUGAAUAUUAGCGCCUUCGAUAAACCUAGUGCAAAGAAGCGCCUGUUCUCUCUACAAAGAACGUAUAGAUUUUCAUCCCGUGACACCCCUCAUUAUUUUUCUCUAGAAGUCCUAGAAUAGGCCGACUCCCCUAAUUCUUUGACAUUUUUUUCAAAUUUUGAGCUCUAGUUUCAGAUUUUUGAACAUAGCGCUCUUCGAUACCUAGUGCAAAAGGAGCGCCUGUUUCUUUUCUACAAGACCUAUAUAGUCAUACCCCGUGACACCCCUCAUUAUUUUUCUCUAGAAGUCCUAGAAUAGGCCGACCCCCCAAAUUUUUUGACAUUUUUUUCAAAUUUUGAGCUCUAGUUUCAGAUUUUUGAACAUAGUGCCCUUCGAUACCUAGCGCAAAAAAAGCGCCUGUUUCUCCUCUUCAAGACCUAUAUAGUCAUUCCCCGUGACACCCCUCAUUAUUUUUCUCUAGAAGUCCUAGAAUAGGCCGACCCCCCUAUGUUUUUGACAUUUUUUUCAAAUUUUGAGCUGUAGUUUCAGAUUGUUGAACAUAUAUAGUGCCCUUCUAUACGUAGUGCAAAAGAAGCGCCUGUUUCUCCUCUACAAGACCUAUAUAGUCAUACCCCGUGACACCCCUUAUUAUUUUUCUCUAGCAGUCCUAAAAUAGGCCGACCCCCCUAAUUUUUUGACAUUUUUUUCGAAUUUUGAGCUCUAGUUUCAGAUUUUUGAACAUAGCGCCCUUCGAUACCUAGCGCAAAAGAAGCGCCUGUUUCUCUCUACAAGACCUAUAUAGUCAUACCCCGUGACACCCCUCAUUAUUUUUCUAAGAAGUCCUAGAAUAGGCCGACCCCCCUAAUUUUUGACAUUUUUUUCAAAUUUUGAGCUCUAGUUUCAGAUUUUUGAACAUAGCGCCUUCGAAUACCUAGCGCAAAAGAAGCGCCUGUUUCUCCUCUACAAGACCUAUAUAGUCAUUCCCCGUGACCACCCUUCAUUAUUUUCUCUAGAAGCCCUGAAUAGGCCGACCCCCCUAAUUUUUUGACAUUUUUUUCAAAUUUUGAGCUCUAGUUUCAGCUUUUGAAUACAGCGCCCUUCGAUACUUAGCGCAAAAGAAGCGCCUGUUUCUCCUCUACAAGACCUAUAUAGUCAUACCCCAUGACACCCCCCAUUAUUUUUCUCUAGAACUCCUGGAAUAGGCCGACCCUACCCCCA
Molecule: long non-coding RNA, 3539 nt
Filed under: Mytilus galloprovincialis (Mediterranean mussel)
Lineage: Eukaryota; Metazoa; Mollusca; Bivalvia; Mytilida; Mytilidae
Source: RNAcentral